Molecule: ribosomal RNA, 523 nt
Filed under: uncultured bacterium
Lineage: Bacteria
Description: partial 16S ribosomal RNA
Rfam family: Bacterial small subunit ribosomal RNA
Source: RNAcentral
GACGAACGCUGGCGGCGUGCCUAAUACAUGCAAGUCGAACGCUUUUUCUUUCACCGGAGCUUGCUCCACCGAAAGAAAAAGAGUGGCGAACGGGUGAGUAACACGUGGGUAACCUGCCCAUCAGAAGGGGAUAACACUUGGAAACAGGUGCUAAUACCGUAUAACACUAUUUUCCGCAUGGAAGAAAGUUGAAAGGCGCUUUUGCGUCACUGAUGGAUGGACCCGCGGUGCAUUAGCUAGUUGGUGAGGUAACGGCUCACCAAGGCAACGAUGCAUAGCCGACCUGAGAGGGUGAUCGGCCACACUGGGACUGAGACACGGCCCAGACUCCUACGGGAGGUAGCAGUAGGGAAUCUUCGGCAAUGGACGAAAGUCUGACCGAGCAACGCCGCGUGAGUGAAGAAGGUUUUCGGAUCGUAAAACUCUGUUGUUGGAGAAGGACAAGGAUGAGAGUAAAACGUUCAUCCCUUGACGGUAUCUAACCAGAAAGCCACGGCUAACUACGUGCCAGCCGCCGCGGUAA